GACAGAUAGCUCAGUUGGUAGAGCAACGGACUGAAAAUCCGUGUGUCGGGAGUUCGAGCCUCCCUCUGUC
RNAcentral lists this transfer RNA (70 nucleotides) under marine eukaryotic metagenome. It matches the Rfam family "tRNA". From Rfam's summary of the family: Transfer RNA (tRNA) molecules are approximately 80 nucleotides in length. The record is from RNAcentral.